AUUGAACGCUGGCGGCAGGCCUAACACAUGCAAGUCGAGCGAGCGGCGGACGGGUGAGUAAUGUCUGGGAAACUGCCUGAUGGAGGGGGAUAACUACUGGAAACGGUAGCUAAUACCGCAUACCAUCAGAAGUGCCCAGAUGGGAUUAGCUAGUAGGUGGGGUAACGGCUCACCUAGGCAACGAUCCCUAGCUGGUCUGAGAGGAUGACCAGCCACACUGGAACUGAGACAGGGUGCAGAGUCCUCCGGGCAGCAGCAUUGGGGACUAUUGGACAAUGGGCGCAAGCCUGAUGCAGCCAUGCCAGGUGUGUGAAGAAGGCCUUCGGGUUGUAGAGCACUGUCAGCGGGGAGGCGUUACCCGCAGAAGAAGCACCGGCUAACUCCGUGCCAGCAGCCGGGGGAAUAC
Molecule: ribosomal RNA, 406 nt
Filed under: uncultured bacterium
Lineage: Bacteria
Description: partial 16S ribosomal RNA
Rfam family: Bacterial small subunit ribosomal RNA
Source: RNAcentral